UACGGGGGGGGCAAGCGUUGUUCGGAAUUACUGGGCGUAAAGAGCUCGUAGGUGGUUUGUCGCGUUGUUCGUGAAAACUCACAGCUCAACUGUGGGCGUGCGGGCGAUACGGGCAGACUGGAGUACUGCAGGGGAGACUGGAAUUCCUGGUGUAGCGGUGGAAUGCGCAGAUAUCAGGAGGAACACCGGUGGCGAAGGCGGGUCUCUGGGCAGUAACUGACGCUGAGGCGCGAAAGCGUGGGGAGCAAACAGG
RNAcentral lists this ribosomal RNA (253 nucleotides) under uncultured bacterium. RNAcentral's name for it is "partial 16S ribosomal RNA". It matches the Rfam family "Bacterial small subunit ribosomal RNA", at positions 524 to 776 of the family's 1533-position model. The record is from RNAcentral.